This 253-nucleotide ribosomal RNA is filed under the name uncultured bacterium. RNAcentral's name for it is "partial 16S ribosomal RNA". It matches the Rfam family "Bacterial small subunit ribosomal RNA", at positions 524 to 776 of the family's 1533-position model. The record is from RNAcentral.
UACGGCGGGUGCUAGCGUUGUUCGGAAUUACUGGGCGUAAAGCGCACGUAGGUGGAUUGCUAAGUCAGGGGUGAAAUCCCGAGGCUCAAACUCGGAACUGCCUUUGAUACUGGCAAUCUCGAGUCCGGGAGAGGUGAGUGGAAUUCCUAGUGUAGAGGUGUAAUUCGUAGAUAUUAGGAAGAACACCAGUGGCGAAGGCGGCUCACUGGCCCGGUACUGACACUGAGGUGCGACAGCGUGGGGAGCAAACAGG